CCCUUAGAUGUCCUGGGCCGCACGCGUGCUACACUGACACUUACACCGAGUUUUUCCAGCCCCGAGAGGCGGCUGGUAAUCAGCAAUAGGCGUCGUGAUGGGGAUAGAUCUUUGGAAUUAUGGAUCUUGAACGAGGAAUGCCUAGUAAGCGCAGGUCAUUAGCCUGCGCUGAUUACGUCCCUGCCCUUUGUACACACCGCCCGUCGCUACUACCGAUUUCGAGUGGUCCGGUGAAGCUUUUGGACUGCGCGUGGCUUCGUGCCGUGUCGCGGAAAGUCAGCUAAACCUUAUCACUUAGAGGAAGUAAAAGUCGUAACA
Molecule: ribosomal RNA, 318 nt
Filed under: uncultured eukaryote
Lineage: Eukaryota
Description: partial 18S ribosomal RNA
Rfam family: Eukaryotic small subunit ribosomal RNA
Source: RNAcentral